Long non-coding RNA from Haliotis rufescens (red abalone), 1123 nucleotides. RefSeq lists it as uncharacterized. The record is from RefSeq and is a predicted model, not a curated record. Lineage: Eukaryota; Metazoa; Mollusca; Gastropoda; Lepetellida; Haliotidae. The transcript has 2 exons.
UCAGCCAGUCACAUGGGUGGCAUCUGGGAACGGAUGAUCAGAACAGUUCGAAAAACCCUGAAUUCUCUCUUGCACGAUUUCAAUGAACGCUUGGAUGAUGAAUCGUUCCGAACUUUAAUGUGCGAAGUUGAGGCAAUUGUCAAUUCUCGGCCACUAACCACAGUAUCUGACAGUCCUGAUGACCUAUGGCCACUUACUCCAAAUCAUAUCCUACAGAUGAAAACAAGCGUGUCUGUUCCACCUCCUGGCCAAUUCCAGAAGAAUUAUGUAUACAUGCGGAAAAGGUGGAGACGGAUCCAAUAUUUGGCCAAUGUCUUUUGGUCCAGAUGGAGAAAGGAGUAUUUGGUGUCACUGCAGCAACGGCAAAAAUGGACGAUCCCAAAACGGAAUAUCCAAGUGGAUGACAUUGUCCUGAUAAUGGAUGACGGUUUACCGAGACUUCAGUGGCCCAUGGCUCGUGUUAAGUCGGUUGAACCUGAUCAGAAGGGUUUUGUCAGGAGUGCUGUACUGAAAACUCAAACUGGUGAAUUACGUCGACCGAUCAGCAAGCUUAUAUUGCUGUUAUCCAGCAAGUCGUGAUUUUGUCAAAUUUAGCCAUCAGUCAAAACCCAGUGUGUCUGUAUAUACAAGCUUGUGAUUUCUGCACUGUUUGUUAUAUUUGUGUUAAACAGCCCGUCUGUUUAAGAGGCCGAGUGUGUUAGUGCAGAAAGUAUAAUUUAUGUUACAAAUCUGUUAUGCAAAAAUGUUAUGAAUUUCAUGUACAGAUAUCAGCCUUAACAAUGGUCUGUUGGUUAUGUCACUGGACUAGCUGCAUAAGGGUCCAGGGUUCAAUCCCAGGUUCAGGCAAAAGUUUUUGUGACUCAUAAUCAGUUCUGUUGCAUCAUGGGAUUAGUCAUGUGACCUCAUCCACUGUCACCUCAUCCACUGUCACCUUCAGUUUGAAAGGUCUCCAUCUUGGAGAAACAUGUCAUGAACUAUUGCAGAACACAGAUUUUCUUGAACCUCAACACUGAUCAUUUCAACGCUAACGUUCAAAGGAAAAGCAUGUUAACGGAUACAAAAGAAUGAGCUUUUCAUUUAUUAUUGUCAACGAAUAACGGACAAUAAACAUCAAUUGAGAGUA